GAUACCCAAACCGUACGCCAAAUAAAUCAAUGUUCCGAUCAAUACUAUAAACAAUUGGAUGAAAAACAUCAAAAAGUUUAUGAUAAAUUAAAAACAUUUCUCAACGGUUGUGUCUCAGGAAAGGACAGCGAAAUCAUUGGCUAUACUAAGAUAGAUAUGUCGGACAUAUCGGUAAAGUCACGGUUAAUCCAAUAUUGUUGGCCAGCCUAUAGUGACUGCCUUAAAACUCAACUACAAACAUUGAGCGUUGAUGAUAAAAAAUUGGUCCAGGAUAAUAUCGAUAAUAAGGCUAAUGAUAAAUUUAAGGAAUGUUUCUAUCAAGCGGUUAAUAUUAAGUAAAAAUAGGGAA
Long non-coding RNA from Oppia nitens, 349 nucleotides. RefSeq lists it as uncharacterized. The transcript has 3 exons. The record is from RefSeq and is a predicted model, not a curated record. NCBI's taxonomy places the organism in Eukaryota, Metazoa, Arthropoda, Arachnida, Sarcoptiformes, Oppiidae.